RNAcentral lists this ribosomal RNA (356 nucleotides) under uncultured Glomeraceae. RNAcentral's name for it is "SSU rRNA". It matches the Rfam family "Eukaryotic small subunit ribosomal RNA", at positions 569 to 929 of the family's 1831-position model. Lineage: Eukaryota; Fungi; Glomeromycota; Glomeromycetes; Glomerales; Glomeraceae. The record is from RNAcentral.
AGCAGCCGCGGUAAUUCCAGCUCCAAUAGCGUAUAUUAAAGUUGUUGCAGUUAAAAAGCUCGUAGUUGAAUUUCGGGAUUAGUACGCUGGUCGUGCCUUCGGUAUGUACUGGUGUUACUGGUUCCUACCUUCUGACGAACCGUCAUGUCAUUAAUUUGGUGUGGCGGGGAAUCAGGACUGUUACUUUGAAAAAAUUAGAGUGUUUAAAGCAGGCUCGCGCUUGAAUACAUUAGCAUGGAAUAAUGAAAUAGGACGUUCGAUCUUAUUUUGUUGGUUUCUAAGAUUGACGUAAUGAUUAAUAGGGAUAGUUGGGGGCAUUAGUAUUCAAUUGUCAGAGGUGAAAUUCUUGGAUUUAU